GACGAACGCUGGCGGCGUGCUUAACACAUGCAAGUCGAACGGAAAGGCCCUGCUUUUGUGGGGUGCUCGAGUGGCGAACGGGUGAGUAACACGUGAGUAACCUGCCCUUGACUUUGGGAUAACUUCAGGCAACUGGGGCUCAUACCGGAUAGGAGCUCCUGCUGCUUGGUGGGGGUUGGAAAGUUUCGGCGGUUGGGGAUGGACUCGCGGCUUAUCAGCUUGUUGGUGGGGUAGUGGCUUACCAAGGCUUUGACGGGUAGCCGGCCUGAGAGGGUGACCGGCCACAUUGGGACUGAGAUACGGCCCAGACUCCAACGGGAGGCAGCAGUGGGGAAUAUUGCAUAAUGGGCGGAAGCCUGAUGCAGCAACGCCGCGUGCGGGAUGACGGCAUGCGGUUAGUAAACCGCUUUCGCCUGUGACGAAGCGUGAGUGACGGUAAUGGGUAAAGAAGCACCGGCUAACUACGUG
This 468-nucleotide ribosomal RNA is filed under the name uncultured bacterium. RNAcentral's name for it is "partial 16S ribosomal RNA". It matches the Rfam family "Bacterial small subunit ribosomal RNA", at positions 28 to 507 of the family's 1533-position model. The record is from RNAcentral.